CUCAGCUCACCCUCUCUCACCUCACGUACACCCUUUCUUUCACUCUCUUUUGUGAAACAUUGAAGCUGUAAAUUGGAGAAAGAAACAAAGGCAACAGAAUAAGCAUUCUCUAUUUUUCUCUCUUUCCCUUAUCCCUCUCUCUCUCUUGAGGUUUUUGCCAUUUUUGGAAGAGGAAAACUUGGGAAUGGAAGCUUAGAGUGUAGAAUCAAGCAAGGAUCAACUUGGGACCCAUUGAGCAGCCAUCAAGGUGUACGCCAAGGCUCGGAGUGGGAUCGUGCUCGAGGAGCGUUCGUAGUAACUAAAGCACUCGAAAUUAAAGGUAAAGGCAAGGGUAUGAUGGUUCAACCAUGUGUUGGAGAGCUCUGGGGGCGAGGUGUACAUUGUCAGCUGCUCGGCCGCCACAGUCGAGGGAUUAUACAGGGACGGAAAACCUAAAAAGUGUAUUUUUCCAUUAGAGUGGCUUUGUUUAUUUAUAACACUUGGAAAUCUUGUAAAUAUGUCUUCUAAACCAUGUUUUAGGAUCCCAUGUACUAAACAUUUAUUUUAAUAGAAAUUAUCUGUUUAUGACUGAAAUCUUUUAAACCUAACCUGUUUAUGGCUUAGGUUCAUAUUUGUAU
This is a long non-coding RNA of Humulus lupulus (European hop), 617 nucleotides long. RefSeq lists it as uncharacterized. NCBI's taxonomy places the organism in Eukaryota, Viridiplantae, Streptophyta, Magnoliopsida, Rosales, Cannabaceae. The record is from RefSeq and is a predicted model, not a curated record. The transcript has 3 exons.